CUGCUGCUCCCUUUUUCUUCAAAGCCUGGGACACUCAAGAUUUUUUCAGGCAACAGACCAGAGUUCGGUGUUUGAGAGGUCUGUUUCUUGAAGCAGCUCCUGCUUCACUUCUCUGAUGGUAGAAAGCAGUCUUCAGCCUGAGUCCCAUCCCUAGGACCUUGUUUAUUAUUUUUUGUCUUUGAGCAAAAGUUUUUUUCUUCUCAGUUGACGGAAUACUGUUUUCUUCAUAUGCUUCUGCUGUCUCUCCUUUUCUUCCACCUUCUCCUGCAUGUGGUACGUGAAACAGUUUAUAAUAGCCUGUGGCUCCUUAAAGAAAAUGGAGAAGGCACUAGAUUCCUUUUGGGGAGAAACCUGUUUUUUCUUACGGAACCCCAAGAACGUAAACAGGCAAGUUCAAGUUCAUUUCAGCUCUUAAACUGCUUACUUUUGUAUUAUGUUACCUGUUUUUUUGGUUGUUUUUGCUGAAAUAGUGCCA
This is a long non-coding RNA of Callithrix jacchus (white-tufted-ear marmoset), 475 nucleotides long. RefSeq lists it as uncharacterized. Lineage: Eukaryota; Metazoa; Chordata; Mammalia; Primates; Cebidae. The record is from RefSeq and is a predicted model, not a curated record.